This 1131-nucleotide long non-coding RNA is filed under the name Olea europaea subsp. europaea. The record is from RNAcentral. Lineage: Eukaryota; Viridiplantae; Streptophyta; Magnoliopsida; Lamiales; Oleaceae.
ACACAGCCUCCGACAGCAUCGUCAAAAACUUGUUCAUUGAUAGCGUAAGUUUACUAAUUGUGAUGUGUAUAUGAUGGGUGAAGUAACAUCCCCCAAAGAUCGUGUUACUAAGCACCAAAAUCAAUAAUCCUACCCCUAUUUGAGAAAAUAAUUAUGGAAGAUGAGUUAUUCUAAAAUCUAAUUAUUCAACUACUUUGGCUAUGAAUGCAAAAUAUGUGAUUUGAACACUUUAAAUUUGAAAAUAAAAUGAUGGUUAAAAUUAUAGACUUUUGACUUCACCUUAGUUUUUAACGUAACUUCUCCUAUAAAGCGUUGGCAAAGUUUAACAAGAAUAUCGGUCAAAUCUCUCUACUUUAAUUAAUACUUUCUUUCGAGAUGAAUCAAUCCUAUUUAACUAAGUAAACUAACUAUAUAUAUGUGCUCAUUUCAACCUAGCAAAUGCAUUCAACAUCAACAAACUCAUAAUGAAUGCACAAACCAAAGAAGUGCAUUUCUACCUUCUUCCUAAAUUUUUAAUGUUUAUUAUAUUGAUCUAGACAAAUAAAUCAUCUGUCUCAUUGCCACCCACAAGUCAUUCAUGAUGUUAUGCAUUACUGGAUUAAUCGUGAUCUUGAGAGAGAACAUUUUAUCCCUUUGUUCUUUAGCUGAUUUUACCUUAAUCAUCAGUUGUCUUCUUCUUCAUGCUGUUGAUCUCCAAAGCUAACAGUGACAAAGAAGACAUGUGCGGAGGUCUAGGUUUUGCCAUAGGAAUUACUUGCCAGUCAGCAUCAGCGUAUACAUGUAAACUGAGUCAAUCAACAAGUUACCGUUAUUUGCCGUUGGGUUGCUCGUUAUGAUAUUAUGGUGCCAAUUGGACUUCGGCCGAGAUUUGCUUGCCUUUGGGGUAAUCAUCUUAGGUUGAUCAAUGCUGUGACUGGAUUCGAAAAUUUGUUGGUCUAAUUAGGAAAUCCAUAGCCUUGUGAAGAGCAUUUGUCAAGUGAACUACCCGAGUAAUCUAGUUGCCAGGAUUGUUGCUCCACCUUCAAUUAAAAGAUUGGCUUUCAUGCCACCUUAUGCUCUUUUAGUUGUUAGUUUUCUGAUUAUAGAGCUAUUGCAGGUGGAUAGACCUUCUAGAUUUCUUAAGAUUUCAAG